GACGAACGCUGGCGGCGUGCUUAACACAUGCAAGUCGAACGAAGUGGCGAACGGGUGAGUAACGCGUAAUCAACCUGCCCUUCAGAGGGGGACAACAGUUGGAAACGACUGCUAAUACCGCAUACGGAAGGAGGGGAUGGCGUCGGAUUAGCUAGUGGGAGGGGUAACGGCCCACAAAGGCGAUGAUCAGUAGCCGGCCUGGGAGUAUGAACGGCCACAUUGGGACUGAGACACGGCCCAGACUCCUACGGGAUGCAGCAGUGGGGAAACUUCCGCAAUGGACGAAAGUCUGACGGCGCAACGCCGCGUUAGUGAUGACUGCCUUCGGGUUGUAAAGCUCUGUUAAUCGGGACGCGGUACCGGAAUAGAAAGCCACGGCUAACUACGUGCCAGCAGCCGCGGUAAUUC
This 408-nucleotide ribosomal RNA is filed under the name uncultured bacterium. RNAcentral's name for it is "partial 16S ribosomal RNA". It matches the Rfam family "Bacterial small subunit ribosomal RNA", at positions 28 to 526 of the family's 1533-position model. The record is from RNAcentral.